Molecule: ribosomal RNA, 252 nt
Filed under: uncultured bacterium
Lineage: Bacteria
Description: partial 16S ribosomal RNA
Rfam family: Bacterial small subunit ribosomal RNA
Source: RNAcentral
GACGUAGGGGGCCAGCGUUGUUCGGAAUUACUGGGUGUAAAGGGUUCGUAGGCGGUGUGGCAAGUCGGGAGUGAAAUCUCUGGGCUCAACCCAGAGACUGCUUCCGAAACUGCUGUGCUUGAGUGUGAGAGAGGCUCGUGGAAUUGCAGGUGUAGCGGUGAAAUGCGUAGAUAUCUGCAGGAACAUCCGAGGCGAAAGCGGCUCGCUGGAUCGCAACUGACGCUGAGGGACGAAAGCUAGGGGAGCAAACAG